Molecule: ribosomal RNA, 253 nt
Filed under: uncultured bacterium
Lineage: Bacteria
Description: partial 16S ribosomal RNA
Rfam family: Bacterial small subunit ribosomal RNA
Source: RNAcentral
UACGAAGGGGGCUAGCGUUGUUCGGAAUUACUGGGCGUAAAGGGCGCGUAGGCGGUGUGUCAAGUCAGGCGUGAAAGCCCCGGGCUCAACCUGGGAACAGCGCUUGAGACUGGCACGCUCGAGUUCGGGAGAGGAUGGUGGAAUUCCCAGUGUAGAGGUGAAAUGCGCAGAUAUCAGGAGGAACACCGGUGGCGAAGGCGGAUCUCUGGGCCAUUACUGACGCUGAGGAGCGAAAGCGUGGGGAGCGAACAGG